GGUUCGUUGGUGUAAUGGUUAACAUCACAGAUUGUCGAUCUGCUGCUAUGGGUUCGAUUCCCGUACGAACCG
Sphingobacteriales bacterium 40-81 is the source of this 72-nucleotide non-coding RNA. Lineage: Bacteria; Pseudomonadati; Bacteroidota; Sphingobacteriia; Sphingobacteriales. The record is from Rfam.